Molecule: ribosomal RNA, 435 nt
Filed under: uncultured bacterium
Lineage: Bacteria
Description: partial 16S ribosomal RNA
Rfam family: Bacterial small subunit ribosomal RNA
Source: RNAcentral
GAUGAACGCUGGCGGUAUGCUUAACACAUGCAAGUCGAACGGACUCUUCGGAGUUAGUGGCGGACGGGUGAGUAACGCGUGAGAAUCUGGCUUUGGGUUCGGGACAACCACUGGAAACGGUGGCUAAUACCGGAUGUGCCGAGAGGUAAAAGAGAAAUUGCCUGAAGAUGAGCUCGCGUCUGAUUAGCUAGUUGGUGAGGUAAAGGCUCACCAAGGCAGCGAUCAGUAGCUGGUCUGAGAGGAUGACCAGCCACACUGGGACUGAGACACGGCCCAGACUCCUACGGGAGGCAGCAGUGGGGAAUUUUCCGCAAUGGGCGAAAGCCUGACGAAGCAAUACCGCGUGAGGGAAGAAGGCGCUUGGGUUGUAAACCUCUUUUCUUAGGGAAGAACAAAAUGACGGUACCUAAGGAAUCAGCAUCGGCUAACUCCGUG